RNAcentral lists this ribosomal RNA (466 nucleotides) under uncultured bacterium. RNAcentral's name for it is "partial 16S ribosomal RNA". It matches the Rfam family "Bacterial small subunit ribosomal RNA", at positions 28 to 507 of the family's 1533-position model. The record is from RNAcentral.
GACGAACGCUGGCGGCGUGCUUAACACAUGCAAGUCGAACGGAAAGGCCCUGCUUGCCGGGUACUCGAGUGGCGAACGGGUGAGUAACACGUGGGUGAUCUGCCCUGCACUUCGGGAUAAGCUUGGGAAACUGGGUCUAAUACCGGAUAGGAGCCAUCUUUAGUGUGGUGGUUGGAAAGUUUUUUCGGUGUAGGAUGAGCUCGCGGCCUAUCAGCUUGUUGGUGGGGUAAUGGCCUACCAAGGCGGCGACGGGUAGCCGGCCUGAGAGGGUGUACGGCCACAUUGGGACUGAGAUACGGCCCAGACUCCUACGGGGGGCAGCAGUGGGGAAUAUUGCACAAUGGGCGCAAGCCUGAUGCAGCGACGCCGCGUGGGGGAUGAAGGCCUUCGGGUUGUAAACUCCUUUCGCUAGGGACGAAGCUUUGUUGUGACGGUACCUAGAUAAGAAGCACCGGCUAACUACGUG